CCUACGGGAGGCAGCAGUGAGGAAUAUUGGUCAAUGGCCGGAAGGCUGAACCAGCCAUGCCGCGUGAAGGUCAGUGCCCUAUGGGCGUUAAACUUCUUUUGUGCGGGAGCAAUAAUGGUCACGUGUGGCCAGACGAGAGUACCGUACGAAUAAGCAUCGGCUAACUCCGUGCCAGCAGCCGCGGUAAUACGGGGGAUGCAAGCGUUAUCCGGAUUUAUUGGGUUUAAAGGGUGCGUAGGCUGUGAGGUAAGUCAGCGGUGAAAUGCCCCCGCUCAACGGGGUGAAGUGCCAUUGAUACUGCCUGGCUGGAAUGCGGAUGCGGUGGGAGGAAUGUGUGGUGUAGCGGUGAAAUGCAUAGAGAUCACACAGAACACCGAUUGCGAAGGCAUCUCACGAAUCCGCGAUUGACGCUGAUGCACGAAAGCGUGGGUAUCAAACAGGAUUAGAUACCCGGGUAGUC
This 460-nucleotide ribosomal RNA is filed under the name uncultured bacterium. RNAcentral's name for it is "partial 16S ribosomal RNA". It matches the Rfam family "Bacterial small subunit ribosomal RNA", at positions 338 to 795 of the family's 1533-position model. The record is from RNAcentral.